UUUGGUUCUCAGCUUCGGUCACAGAUCAGCUGAAAUAUGAACAUUUUCCUUGGUGGAAGUGCUGUCUGACGCUCACCAGGGUCCUCAGAGCUCUGAGCAUCAGAUGAUACCGAGCCGUUCCUGGACGAUGAUGUUCAAGAUGUGAAUCAGACCAGAUAUGACACCUGAAAUGCAAAAGAGACUCAUUUCAUAGAGAUGGAAUAAUUUUGUCAAAAUCUCCUCUGGACGUUUACCCGCAUCGCGAGUGUCGAUGAUAAACUCUGCUGGCUCGAAG
This is a long non-coding RNA of Poeciliopsis prolifica (blackstripe livebearer), 274 nucleotides long. RefSeq lists it as uncharacterized. The record is from RefSeq and is a predicted model, not a curated record. The transcript is spliced from 3 exons. Lineage: Eukaryota; Metazoa; Chordata; Actinopteri; Cyprinodontiformes; Poeciliidae.